This 773-nucleotide ribosomal RNA is filed under the name uncultured Neocallimastigales. Its description in RNAcentral is "partial large subunit ribosomal RNA". It matches the Rfam family "Eukaryotic large subunit ribosomal RNA", at positions 24 to 633 of the family's 3401-position model. The record is from RNAcentral. Lineage: Eukaryota; Fungi; Neocallimastigomycota; Neocallimastigomycetes; Neocallimastigales.
GUAGUCUCGCACAGAUGCAUAUCAAUAAGCGGAGGAAAAGAAACUAACAAGGAUUCCCCUAGUAACGGCGAGUGAAGCGGGAAGAGCUCAAAUUUGAAAUCUUAAAGGGUUUCCCUUUACGAAUUGUAGUUUAAAGAAGUGUUUUCUGUUGAGGUUUUGGUAAAAGUUCUUUGGAAUAGGACAUCAUAGAGGGUGAGAAUCCCGUAUUUGACCUUUACUUUCAACUUUGUGAUACACUUUCAAAGAGUCGGAUUGUUUGGGAAUGCAGUCCAAAAUGGGUGGUAAAUUUCAUCUAAAGCUAAAUAUUGGCGAGAGACCGAUAGCGAACAAGUACCGUGAGGGAAAGAUGGAAAGAACUUUGAAAGAGAGUUAAACAGUACGUGAAAUUGUCAAAAGGGAAGCGUUUGACACCAGUGUUGUUUUUCUGAAAAUCAAUUAAAGAACUGUUUAUGCUAAGCUGUUUAGACUUUAUCAGCUAACUGUUUAGUUUUGAGCUUUUCUUUAAUGCACUUUUCAGUUAACAAGUCAACAUCAAUUUCUUUUGCUGUAAAAAAGCUUGAGGAAGGUGGCUUGAGAUUCGUCUUAAGUGUUUAUGGCCUCUUGCCUAUGCAGUCGGAGAGAUUGAGGUCUGCAGCGUAGAUCCUUCGGGGCUAAAUGCAUUUGUGCUAAGUUAUAGCAUUUUAUAGACAACUUGUUGACUAUGAUUUGUCUUGUAGCUUACUCGCUUAUGUUAUUUUACCUACGCUUAGGAUGUUGAAGACUCUACAGAGAUA